UGGGGAAUAUUGGACAAUGGGGGAAACCCUGAUCCAGCGACGCCGCGUGGGUGAAGAAGGCCUGCGGGUUGUAAAGCCCUUUCGGUGGGGAAGAAAAGUCGUCGUCUAAUAAACGAUGGCCUUGACGUAACCCACUAAAGAAGCACCGGCUAACUCUGUGCCAGCAGCCGCGGUAAUACAGAGGGUGCGAGCGUUAAUCGGAAUUACUGGGCGUAAAGCGCGCGUAGGCGGCUUGGCAAGUCGGAUGUGAAAUCCCCAGGCUUAACCUGGGAACUGCAUUCGAGACUGCUUUGCUAGAGUAUGGGAGAGGGAAGUGGAAUUUCCGGUGUAGCGGUGAAAUGCGUAGAUAUCGGAAGGAACAUCAGUGGCGAAAGCGACUUCCUGGACCAAUACUGACGCUCAUGUGCGAAAGCGUGGGGAGCAAACAGGAUUAGAUACCCCCGUAGUCC
RNAcentral lists this ribosomal RNA (449 nucleotides) under uncultured bacterium. RNAcentral's name for it is "bacterial SSU rRNA". It matches the Rfam family "Bacterial small subunit ribosomal RNA", at positions 355 to 796 of the family's 1533-position model. The record is from RNAcentral.